UACGUAGGGUGCGAGCGUUGUCCGGAAUUAUUGGGCGUAAAGAGCUCGUAGGCGGUCUGUCGCGUCGAAUGUGAAAACCCGGGGCUCAACUGCGGGCCUGCAGCCGAUACGGGCAGGCUAGAGUUCGGUAGGGGAGACUGGAAUUCCUGGUGUAGCGGUGAAAUGCGCAGAUAUCAGGAGGAACACCGGUGGCGAAGGCGGGUCUCUGGGCCGAUACUGACGCUGAGGAGCGAAAGCGUGGGGAGCGAACAGG
RNAcentral lists this ribosomal RNA (253 nucleotides) under uncultured bacterium. RNAcentral describes it as "partial 16S ribosomal RNA". It matches the Rfam family "Bacterial small subunit ribosomal RNA", at positions 524 to 776 of the family's 1533-position model. The record is from RNAcentral.